UGGUAUGGCUCAGUUGGUAGAGCAGCUGAUUCGUAAUCAGCAGGUCGGCGGUUCGAGUCCGCCUACC
This 67-nucleotide transfer RNA is filed under the name human gut metagenome. It matches the Rfam family "tRNA". Rfam says of the family: Transfer RNA (tRNA) molecules are approximately 80 nucleotides in length. Their secondary structure includes four short double-helical elements and three loops (D, anti-codon, and T loops). The record is from RNAcentral.